CGACGCCGCGUGAGUGAUGAAGGCCUUCGGGUUGUAAAGCUCUGUGAGGGGGACGAAUAAGGGUUGGCUAACAUCCAGCUCGAUGACGGUACCCCUUUAGCAAGCACCGGCUAACUCUGUGCCAGCAGCCGCGGUAAGACAGAGGGUGCAAACGUUGUUCGGAAUUACUGGGCGUAAAGCGCAUGUAGGCGGUUCGUAAAGUCAGAUGUGAAAGCCCUGGGCUUAACCCAGGAAGUGCAUUUGAAACUCACGAACUUGAGUCCCGGAGAGGAAGGCGGAAUUCUCGGUGUAGAGGUGAAAUUCGUAGAUAUCGAGAGGAACAUCGGUGGCGAAGGCGGCCUUCUGGACGGUGACUGACGCUGAGAUGCGAAAGCGUGGGGAGCAAACAGGAUUAGAUACCCUGGUAGUCCACGCCGUAAACGAUGGGUGCUAGGUGUCGCGGGCUUUGACUCCUGCGGUGCCGUAGCUAACGCAUUAAGCACCCCGCCUGGGGAGUACGGCCGCAAGGCUA
This 511-nucleotide ribosomal RNA is filed under the name uncultured Pseudomonadota bacterium. RNAcentral describes it as "bacterial SSU rRNA". It matches the Rfam family "Bacterial small subunit ribosomal RNA", at positions 392 to 896 of the family's 1533-position model. Lineage: Bacteria; Pseudomonadati; Pseudomonadota. The record is from RNAcentral.